Molecule: ribosomal RNA, 464 nt
Filed under: uncultured bacterium
Lineage: Bacteria
Description: bacterial SSU rRNA
Rfam family: Bacterial small subunit ribosomal RNA
Source: RNAcentral
AACGAACGCUGGCGGCGUGCCUAACACAUGCAAGUCGUGCGAGAAAGUUCCUUCGGGAGCGAGUAAAGCGGCGCACGGGUGAGUAACACGUAGGUAACCUGCCCCCCAGUCUGGAACAACUAGAGGAAACUCUAGCUAAUGCCGGAUGAGACCACGAUCCCUUCGGGGGUUGCGGCCAAAGAUGGCCUCUACUUGUAAGCUAUCGCUGAGGGAUGGGCCUGCGGGCCAUUAGCUUGUUGGUGAGGUAACGGCUCACCAAGGCUGUGAUGGCUAGCUGGUCUGAGAGGAUGACCAGCCACACUGGGACUGAGACACGGCCCAGACUCCUACGGGAGGCAGCAGUGGGGAAUAUUGCGCAAUGGGCGAAAGCCUGACGCAGCGACGCCGCGUGGGUGAUGAAGGCCUCGGGUCGUAAAGCCCUGUCGCAGGGAAGGAAGUAAGGACAUCGGUAGUAAUACGCCGGU